AGAGAAUAGAUACCCAGGUAGUCCACGCCGUAAACGUUGGGCGCUAGGUGUGGGGAACCUUCCACGUUCUCCGUGCCGCAGCUAAACGCAUUAAGCGCCCCGCCUGGGGAGUACGGCCGCAAGGCUAAAACUCAAAGGAAUUGACGGGGGCCCGGCACAAGCGGCGGAGCAUGUGGCUUAAAUUCGACGCAACGCGAAGAACCUUACCAAGGCUUGACAUACACCGGAAACUGCCAGAGAUGGUGGCCCCGCAAGGUCGGUGUACAGGUGGUGCAUGGUUGUCGUCAGCUCGUGUCGUGAGAUGUUGGGUUAAGUCCCGCAACGAGCGCAACCCUCGUCCUAUGUUGCCAGCGAGUAAUGUCGGGGACUCAUAGGAGACUGCCGGGGUCAACUCGGAGGAAGGUGGGGAUGACGUCAAAUCAUCAUGCCCCUUAUGUCUUGGGCUGCACACAUGCUACAAUGGCCAGUACAAA
Molecule: ribosomal RNA, 473 nt
Filed under: uncultured bacterium
Lineage: Bacteria
Description: bacterial SSU rRNA
Rfam family: Bacterial small subunit ribosomal RNA
Source: RNAcentral